UGUGGAGAAGGCUAGAGGCUAGUUCUAUCUUGGAGCUCCCCUCAGACAGCUUCUCUUCAGAUCGGUCACCUUUGUAACGGAGGACUUGGUUUCUGAAUCUGUGACUGUUCUCAGAUUUCCACACAUCCCAGAGGGAAACAGAGAAGGAAACCUCAUCAGUUCCAUGUCCCUUCAGAAGACUACAAACUUCCUCAGGACAGGAACUUUUAUCUACUUCAUAUAUACCCAGCAGCUGGCAGCAUGUCUACCACAAAGGAGACACUUAAUAAAUACUUUUUCCAUUGUCUUACACUGGAUGUGUCCAAACAAAAUAACUGAUUUAAAAUAAAAGUCAUUCCAGACCAAUGUGAUAAAAUCAUCAGGUUUUUGAAAUAUUCUUAAUUCACAGGGAGUAUCCACACAUAUUAUCCAAAUUGAUCGGAAUUAUCCUGUCAAGUUAGCUGGCAUAGGAAUGAUGCUUACACUACUUAUGCU
Molecule: long non-coding RNA, 474 nt
Filed under: Monodelphis domestica (gray short-tailed opossum)
Lineage: Eukaryota; Metazoa; Chordata; Mammalia; Didelphimorphia; Didelphidae
Description: lncRNA (ENSMODG00000033935.2)
Source: RNAcentral